Molecule: long non-coding RNA, 408 nt
Filed under: Anas platyrhynchos platyrhynchos (common mallard)
Lineage: Eukaryota; Metazoa; Chordata; Aves; Anseriformes; Anatidae
Description: lncRNA (ENSAPLG00000023039.1)
Source: RNAcentral
AUGCUUCCACAGGUGCACAUAUGUGCAGCGGCUAUUCCAGGUAGCAAAUAUAUGUACAGCAGUUUUGUACAUUGGCUUACUCUACCAUACAACCUGGCAGAGCCCCAAGAAAGAUCCUGGCUGUCACAGAUAGUCUCCUGCUUGCUGAAGGAGACAGCUGCCUUCCAGCUAAAUCAGCCCACUUGUUCUGUUAAGUGCCCUUCCAGGCUGGACCUCUUGCAGGUUGCCCAUGCAGCUGUAGGAUCUCAUUGUGCAAUCUGGCAACUGCUGGCAGGUACUGUUGUUUCGUUCCCUAUUGAUCCUGCAAUUAAUAAUUCCUUUAAAAAUAAUGGUGACAGUGUGCCCAUACCAGGGUUUAGAGUAGUACACAUCUCACAUACAGGAAGAUUUUCUUUUUCAGACUCGUAG